UACGGAGGGGGCUAGCGUUGUUCGGAAUUACUGGGCGUAAAGCGCGCGUAGGCGGACCUGCAAGUCGGGGGUGAAAGCCCGGGGCUUAACCUGGGAACUGCGUUUGAUACUGGGGGGCUCGAGGCUGGGAGAGGAGAGUGGAAUUCCCAGUGUAGAGGUGAAAUUCGUAGAUAUUGGGAAGAACACCGGUGGCGAAGGCGGCUCUCUGGUCCACAACUGACGCUGAGGCGCGAAAGCGUGGGGAGCAAACAGG
Molecule: ribosomal RNA, 253 nt
Filed under: uncultured bacterium
Lineage: Bacteria
Description: partial 16S ribosomal RNA
Rfam family: Bacterial small subunit ribosomal RNA
Source: RNAcentral